This 685-nucleotide small RNA is filed under the name Drosophila virilis. RNAcentral describes it as "GJ26855". Lineage: Eukaryota; Metazoa; Arthropoda; Insecta; Diptera; Drosophilidae. The record is from RNAcentral.
CAAGUAUAUAUUUAAUUAUUAAAAUGACAUUGCUAAUUUCAUUCGAAUAAAACUGUUCCAAUACUCACAAGGUGGUAAUGACUGCGUCUUAGAUCAUAACACUCCUCACGUCCACAAAGUCACGCGCAGCUGGAUGAUAUAAAUAGUCGCCGAGCAUGUCCUUGGUCCUGAUGCAAUGUUCUGGUCAAAUGACUCGCGCGACAUGACCGCUGCCUUCCCAACGGCCAGGCUGUGGCAAGGAGAUCGGAAAAUAAGAGGCUCGCCAUUCUUUUAAGCAAAUAACCUUAAAUCGAGCCGUUUCACGUGCUUAAGCAGUUUCUAUCGAUCGAAAAAUAGAGAUGGAUACACACGUCCACUAAUCGCGGAAAUAUCGAUAAAUAUCGAACACACAUCGAUAACAGUCGCAAUAUACAUCCAACUCGCUUGGCAAACGAAGCGAUGAGUAUUCAUUCAGACUAAUCGAUAGCAAUUACAGGAGCAGCAACAUUUCGUCUAAAAGGACCAAUAAGGAAUCUUUAGAUUAGGCAAAAGUCAAAAUGGAAACUAUCAAUUUGUAGCCGCAACUUAAUUAGCUGAUUGCUUACUGACUGCCAAAAAACAAAGCGUCAACUCCCCCAUUCAAUGAAUUAUUCAAUAGAAGAGUAAAUGCAUGGUCAAGAGCAAAAUAAAAAAAGGAAUAAAUGUU